RNAcentral lists this transfer RNA (93 nucleotides) under Pseudoclavibacter sp. RNAcentral describes it as "tRNA-Ser". It matches the Rfam family "tRNA". Rfam says of the family: Transfer RNA (tRNA) molecules are approximately 80 nucleotides in length. Their secondary structure includes four short double-helical elements and three loops (D, anti-codon, and T loops). The record is from RNAcentral. Lineage: Bacteria; Bacillati; Actinomycetota; Actinomycetes; Micrococcales; Microbacteriaceae.
GGAGACGUCGCAUAGUCCGGUCGAGUGCACCACCCUGCUAAGGUGGAGACCCCUUUGAGGGGUCCGAGGGUUCAAAUCCCUCCGUCUCCGCCA